AUGUCCCUCAGCACCACAUCUGCCCAGCUUUUAAAUACCUCCAGGGAUGGUGACUCCAGCACUGCCCUGGGCAACCUCUUCCAAGGCUUGACAACCCUUUCAGGGAAGAAAUUGUUCCAAAUAUCCAUCCUCAACCUCCCCUGGUACAACUUGAGGCCAUUUCCUUGUGUCCCACCAUCCUUGGGAUGCUCCGUGCCUGCUCCACCAACCCGUGCUUACCUGAGCAUAGUGUUUCGGUGGCAUGUCCCCUCCACCUGCUUCUGCCCUGGGCUGCCUGGAUGUCCCCACCCACAGCCACCUUUUCUCACCUCUGCCACUGUCCCACUGGGUGUCCUUGGUCAUGUCCCUGCACCCUCACAAGCCUUUAAGGGACACAGGGCUGGUGGCUGCAGUGAUAUCCUGGUGGCCACAGCACUGUCCCACCUCAUAUUUGUGCCCCAUGCCUGGGUCAACAGGGCCUCUGUGGUGCCCAAGGGGCUGGGGACAUCCCCUGUCCCCAUGUCAAACUCCUGCCUAUUCUAUUUGUGUUCCCAUGGGGGCACCAGGGUUUUGGGGCUGUUGGCCACCAUGGAGCCUCCAGGGUGGGUGCCAGGAGAUCAUAGAAUCAUGGAAUGGUUUGGGUUGGAAGAGACCUUAAAGAUCAUCCAGUUCCAACCCCCUGCCCUGGGCAGGGACACCUCCUACCAGACCAGGUUGCUCCAAGCCCCCUCCAACCUGCCCUUGAACCCCUCCAGGGAUGGGGCAGCCACAGCUUCUCUGGGCAACCUGGGCCAGGCUCUCACCACCCUCACACCAAAGAAGUUCUUCCCCACAUCUCAUCUCCAUCUCCCCUCUUUCAGUGUAAAAACCUUCCCCCUCAUCCUAUGGCUCCCCUCCCUGAUCCAGAGUCCCUCCCCAUCUCUCCUGGAGCCCCUUGAGGGACUGGAAGGAGCUCUAAGGUCUCCCUGGAGCCUUCUCUUCUCCAAGCUGGAGAACCCCAACUCACUCAGCCUGUCCUCCCAGCACAGGGGCUCCAUCCAUGGCUCAUCUCUGUGGCCUCCUCUGGGCCCUGCUCCACCAGGUCCAUGUCCUUCUGCUGUUGAAGACUCCAGAGCUGGACACACCACACCACGGUGGGUGGCAUUUUACUCAUUUAUUUGGAGUUUUGAAGCCUGGUGCCUGCAGGAGGGGAUGAAGCAGAGCUCCUGUGAGCACAACAAACACACACAAAGACUUAAUUCCCUUAAUUAA
This 1230-nucleotide long non-coding RNA is filed under the name Calidris pugnax (ruff). Its description in RNAcentral is "lncRNA (ENSCPUG00000010904.1)". The record is from RNAcentral. Lineage: Eukaryota; Metazoa; Chordata; Aves; Charadriiformes; Scolopacidae.